RNAcentral lists this ribosomal RNA (229 nucleotides) under uncultured Staphylococcus sp. RNAcentral describes it as "partial 16S ribosomal RNA". It matches the Rfam family "Bacterial small subunit ribosomal RNA", at positions 111 to 334 of the family's 1533-position model. The record is from RNAcentral. Lineage: Bacteria; Bacillati; Bacillota; Bacilli; Caryophanales; Staphylococcaceae.
GUACACGUGGAUAACCUACCUAUAAGACUGGGAUAACUUCGGGAAACCGGAGCUAAUACCGGAUAAUAUAUUGAACCGCAUGGUUCAAUGGUGAAAGACGGUUUUGCUGUCACUUAUAGAUGGAUCCGCGCCGCAUUAGCUAGUUGGCAAGGUAACGGCUUACCAAGGCAACGAUGCGUAGCCGACCUGAGAGGGUGAUCGGCCACACUGGAACUGAGACACGGUCCAG